The sequence is a transfer RNA, 85 nucleotides long. It matches the Rfam family "tRNA". Rfam says of the family: Transfer RNA (tRNA) molecules are approximately 80 nucleotides in length. The record is from Rfam.
GGUCUAAUAGUGUAGAGGUUAGCACAUGGGAUUUUGAGGUGAUUAUUGAAUUCCCAUAACCCAGGUUCGAGUCCUGGUUAGACCU